UACGAAGGGGGCGAGCGUUGUCCGGAGUUACUGGGCGUAAAGGGCGUGCAGGCGGUGGUGCGCGUUUUGUGUGACAGCGCAAGGCUUAACUUUGCGAGGAUACGAAAGACGGCAGCACUUGAGAGCGCGAGAGGGACACGGAAUUCCGGGUGGAGUGGUGAAAUGCGUAGAGAUCCGGAGGAACACCGAAGGCGAAGGCAGUGUCCUGGCGCGCAUCUGACGCUGAGGCGCGAAAGCCAGGGGAGCGAACGGG
Molecule: ribosomal RNA, 253 nt
Filed under: uncultured bacterium
Lineage: Bacteria
Description: partial 16S ribosomal RNA
Rfam family: Bacterial small subunit ribosomal RNA
Source: RNAcentral